Molecule: ribosomal RNA, 486 nt
Filed under: uncultured bacterium
Lineage: Bacteria
Description: partial 16S ribosomal RNA
Rfam family: Bacterial small subunit ribosomal RNA
Source: RNAcentral
AUUGAACGCUGGCGGCAUGCCUUACACAUGCAAGUCGAACGGCAGCACGGGUGCUUGCACCUGGUGGCGAGUGGCGAACGGGUGAGUAAUACAUCGGAACAUGUCCUGUAGUGGGGGAUAGCCCGGCGAAAGCCGGAUUAAUACCGCAUACGAUCUACGGAUGAAAGCGGGGGACCUUCGGGCCUCGCGCUAUAGGGUUGGCCGAUGGCUGAUUAGCUAGUUGGUGGGGUAAAGUCCUACCAAGGCGACGAUCAGUAGCUGGUCUGAGAGGACGACCAGCCACACUGGGACUGAGACACGGCCCAGACUCCUACGGGAGGCAGCAGUGGGGAAUUUUGGACAAAGGGCGAAAGCCUGAUCCAGCAAUGCCGCGUGUGUGAAGAAGGCCUUCGGGUUGUAAAGCACUUUUGUCCGGAAAGAAAUCCUUGGCCCUAAUACGGUCGGGGGAUGACGGUACCGGAAGAAUAAGCACCGGCUAACUACGUG